UACAGAGGGGGCGAGCGUUGUUCGGAAUUACUGGGCGUAAAGGGCGCGUAGGCGGCCCGCUAAGUCGAACGUGAAAUCCCCAGGCUCAACCUGGGAACUGCGUCCGAUACUGGCAGGCUUGAAUCCGGGAGAGGGAUGUGGAAUUCCAGGUGUAGCGGUGAAAUGCGUAGAUAUCUGGAGGAACACCGGUGGCGAAGGCGGCAUCCUGGACCGGUAUUGACGCUGAGGCGCGAAAGCUAGGGGAGCGAACAGG
RNAcentral lists this ribosomal RNA (253 nucleotides) under uncultured bacterium. RNAcentral describes it as "partial 16S ribosomal RNA". It matches the Rfam family "Bacterial small subunit ribosomal RNA", at positions 524 to 776 of the family's 1533-position model. The record is from RNAcentral.